UACGUAGGGGGCAAGCGUUGUCCGGAAUCAUUGGGCGUAAAGAGCGCGUAGGCGGCCCUGUAAGUCCGCUGUGAAAGUCAAGGGCUCAACCCUUGAAUGCCGGUGGAUACUGCAGGGCUAGAGUGCGGAAGAGGCGAGUGGAAUUCCUGGUGUAGCGGUGAAAUGCGCAGAUAUCAGGAGGAACACCAAUGGCGAAGGCAGCACUCUGGGACGUGACUGACGCUGAGACGCGAAAGCGUGGGGAGCAAACAGG
Molecule: ribosomal RNA, 253 nt
Filed under: uncultured bacterium
Lineage: Bacteria
Description: partial 16S ribosomal RNA
Rfam family: Bacterial small subunit ribosomal RNA
Source: RNAcentral